RNAcentral lists this transfer RNA (87 nucleotides) under Methylomagnum ishizawai. RNAcentral's name for it is "tRNA-Leu". It matches the Rfam family "tRNA". Rfam says of the family: Transfer RNA (tRNA) molecules are approximately 80 nucleotides in length. Their secondary structure includes four short double-helical elements and three loops (D, anti-codon, and T loops). Lineage: Bacteria; Pseudomonadati; Pseudomonadota; Gammaproteobacteria; Methylococcales; Methylococcaceae. The record is from RNAcentral.
GCCCCGGUGGUGAAAUUGGUAGACACAAGGGACUUAAAAUCCCUCGGAGUAAAAUCCGUGCCGGUUCGACCCCGGCCCGGGGCACCA